RNAcentral lists this ribosomal RNA (223 nucleotides) under Salmonella enterica subsp. enterica. Its description in RNAcentral is "partial 16S ribosomal RNA". It matches the Rfam family "Bacterial small subunit ribosomal RNA", at positions 899 to 1121 of the family's 1533-position model. Lineage: Bacteria; Pseudomonadati; Pseudomonadota; Gammaproteobacteria; Enterobacterales; Enterobacteriaceae. The record is from RNAcentral.
ACUCAAAUGAAUUGACGGGGGCCCGCACAAGCGGUGGAGCAUGUGGUUUAAUUCGAUGCAACGCGAAGAACCUUACCUGGUCUUGACAUCCACGGAAGAAUUCAGAGAUGGAUUUGUGCCUUCGGGAACCGUGAGACAGGUGCUGCAUGGCUGUCGUCAGCUCGUGUUGUGAAAUGUUGGGUUAAGUCCCGCAACGAGCGCAACCCUUAUCCUUUGUUGCCAG